Molecule: ribosomal RNA, 501 nt
Filed under: uncultured bacterium
Lineage: Bacteria
Description: bacterial SSU rRNA
Rfam family: Bacterial small subunit ribosomal RNA
Source: RNAcentral
CUGGCGGCGUGCUAACACAUGCAAGUCGAACGCGAAAGGGACUUCGGUCCUGAGUAAAGUGGCGCACGGGUGAGUAACGCGUAGAUAACCUGUCUUCAUGUCUGGAAUAAUACGCCGAAAGGGGUACUAAUACCGGAUAUUCUUGCUUUUCAUAAGUUAUGCAAGCAAAGGUGGCCUCUGCAUAUGCUACUGCAUGAAGAGGGGUCUGCGUACCAUUAGCUAGUAGGUGGGGUAAUGGCCUACCUAGGCGACGAUGGUUAGCGGGUCUGAGAGGAUGAUCCGCCACACUGGCACUGGAACACGGGCCAGACUCCUACGGGAGGCAGCAGUGAGGAAUAUUGCGCAAUGGGGGAAACCCUGACGCAGCGACGCCGCGUGAGUGAGGAAGGCCUUCGGGUCGUAAAGCUCUGUCAAGAGGAAAGAAGUGUACAAUGGCUAAUACCUGUUGUAUUUGACGGUACCUCUAAAGGAAGCACCGGCUAACUCCGUGCCAGCCGCCGC